Molecule: ribosomal RNA, 440 nt
Filed under: uncultured bacterium
Lineage: Bacteria
Description: partial 16S ribosomal RNA
Rfam family: Bacterial small subunit ribosomal RNA
Source: RNAcentral
CCUACGUGUGGCAGCAGUGGGGAAUAUUGCACAAUGGGGGAAACCCUGAUGCAGCAACGCCGCGUGAGUGAAGAAGUAUUUCGGUAUGUUAAGCUCUAUCAGCAGGGAAGAAGAUGACGGUACCUGAAUAAGAAGCCCCGGCUAACUACGUGCCAGCAGCCGCGGUAAUACGUAGGGGGCAAGCGUUAUCCGGAUUUACUGGGAGUAAAGGGAGCGCAGACGGCAGUGCAAGUCUGGAGUGAAAGCCCGGGGCCCAACCCCGGCACUGCGCCGGAAACUGUGCGGCUAGAGUACUGGAGGGGCAGGCGGAAUUCCUGGUGUAGCAGUGAAAUGCGUAGAUAUUAGGAGGAACACCAGUGGCGAAGGCGGGCUGCUGGACAGUAACUGACGUUGAGGCUCGAAGGCGUGGGGAGCAAACGGGAUUAGAUACCCUUGUAGUC